CCUACGGGAGGCAGCAGUAGGGAAUCUUCCACAAUGGGCGCAAGCCUGAUGGAGCAACACCGCGUGAGUGAAGAAGGGUUUCGGCUCGUAAAGCUCUGUUGUUGGAGAAGAACGUGCGUGAGAGUAACUGUUCACGCAGUGACGGUAUCCAACCAGAAAGUCACGGCUAACUACGUGCAGGCGGCGCGGGGAAUACGUGGGUGCCAAGGGUUAUCCGGAUUUUUUGGGCGGAAAGCGAGGGCAGCCGGUUGCUUAGGUCUGAUGUGAAGGCCUUCGGCUUAACCGAAGAAGGGCAUCGGAAACCGGGCAACUUGAGUGCAGAAGAGGACAGUGGAACUCCAGGUGUAGCGGUGGAAUGCGUAGUUAUAUGGAAGAACACCAGUGGCGAAGGCGGCUGUCUGGUCUGCAACUGACGCUGAGGCUCGAAAGCAUGGGUAGCGAACAGGAUUAGAUACCCCGGUAGUC
Molecule: ribosomal RNA, 465 nt
Filed under: uncultured bacterium
Lineage: Bacteria
Description: partial 16S ribosomal RNA
Rfam family: Bacterial small subunit ribosomal RNA
Source: RNAcentral